AUUGCCCUUUCCCCCCAAUCCUGGGUCUGUGCCCUUAUCCACCCAGCAUCUUUGGUCCAGCCCUCUUCUCUCCUGAACUUCAGCUUGGUGUGCCCUCAGACCCCUGACCCCCAUGCAUCCUCCCUGCCAGAAAAUGUGUGGCAAGAUGCUUCUAGGAACCCCUCCCUGAUUCCUGACCUUCUCUGCGUCUCCCUGUACCUCCUUCCUCCAGUACUGGGUGUUGAACCUAGGAGUGUUUUACCACUGAGCUACAUCCCCAGUCUUUUAAAUUUAUUGCUUUGAGACAGGUCUUUCUAAGCUGCUGAAGCUGGCCUCAAAUUCACAAUCCUCCCGCUUCAAACUUGAGUCACUGAUAUUACAAGUGUGAGCCGUUAUGUCUGGCCCCUCUUGUCUGUUAUCUUUGUCCUCAAGCAGCUGGCCUGCCCACACUGUCCCUUCUGCUCCCUAUGUAUACCCAGACCCAUCAGGAUCACCAACCUGUGCUCAACAGCUUUGGGAGUUCCCCUGUGCCUGAGAAGGCCAUAUCCUGUGUGACCCAAAGAGGGAGUUCUCUCCUGCUCCCAUUUUCAGCCCUAUUUCCUGGCACAGCCUCCAUGCACCCCAGGGUGCAGCUGCUUCUGGCAGCUAGAAUCUGCAUUUCUCUCUUCACCUCCAGCAGAGAGAAGACAGUGCUGGACAAGGGUUUAUUUAAAUAGCAACCUCCAUCCAUCUGCCUCCACAUCCUCUAGCUUUAGAUGUGGGCAAGAGAAACAGGAUCUCAUGUCUUC
This 767-nucleotide long non-coding RNA is filed under the name Marmota monax (woodchuck). Lineage: Eukaryota; Metazoa; Chordata; Mammalia; Rodentia; Sciuridae. The record is from RNAcentral.